UCCCUGGUAGCUCAGUUGGUAGAGCAGGUGGCUGUUAACCACCGUGUCGCAGGUUCGAGUCCUGCCCGGGGAGCCA
Molecule: transfer RNA, 76 nt
Rfam family: tRNA
About the family: Transfer RNA (tRNA) molecules are approximately 80 nucleotides in length.